Molecule: ribosomal RNA, 468 nt
Filed under: uncultured bacterium
Lineage: Bacteria
Description: partial 16S ribosomal RNA
Rfam family: Bacterial small subunit ribosomal RNA
Source: RNAcentral
GACGAACGCUGGCGGCGUGCUUAACACAUGCAAGUCGAACGGAAAGGCCCUGCUUUUGUGGGGUGCUCGAGUGGCGAACGGGUGAGUAACACGUGAGUAACCUGCCCUUGACUUUGGGAUAACUUCAGGAAACUGGGGCUAAUACCGGAUAGGAGCUCCUGCUGCAUGGUGGGGGUUGGAAAGUUUCGGCGGUUGGGGAUGGACUCGCGGCUUAUCAGCUUGUUGGUGGGUUAGUGGCUUACCAAGGCCUUGACGGGUAGCCGGCCUGAGAGGGUGACCGGCCACAUUGGGACUGAGAUACGGCCCAGACUCCUACGGGAGGCAGCAGUGGAGAAUAUUGCACAAUGGGCGGAAGCCUGAUGCAGCAACGCCGCGUGCGGGAUGACGGCCUUCGGGUUGUAAACCGCUUUCGCCUGUGACGAAGCGUGAGUGACGGUAAUGGGUAAAGAAGCACCGGCUAAAUACGUG